UUUAAGGUCUAACCUGCCCAAUGAGGAUUUAAAUGGCCGCAGUAUUUUGACUGUGCAAAGGUAGCAUAAUUAUUAGUUUUUUAAUUGAAAGCUUGUAUGAAGGGUUGGACGAGAUGAAAUCUGUCUUUAUUUAAAUUAAAAUAUAAUUUAACUUUUAAGUAAAAAGGCUUAAAUGUUUAUAAAAGACGAGAAGACCCUAUAGAUCUUUAUUUAAUUAAAAUUUUAAUAAUUUAGGAUUAUUUUAAUUUAAAGUUUUAAUUAAAUUUUAUUGGGGUAAUAUAAAGAUUAAAUAAAUUCUUUUUAUUUAUGACAUUGAUUUAUGAAUAUAUGAUCCAUUAAUAUUGAUUAUAAGAUUAAGUUACCUUAGGGAUAACAGCGUAAUUUUUUUUGGAGAGCUCAUAUCGAUAAAAAAGUUUGCGACCUCGAUGUUGGAUUAAAAAUUAGCUUGGGUGCAGAAGUUCAAGAUUUUGGUCUGUUCGACCAUUAAAUUUUUACAUGAUCUGAGUUCAGACCGGCGUGAGCCAGGUCGGUUUCUAUCUUUAUUAAGAUAAAAUGUUUUAGUACGAAAGGACCAAAUAUUUAAUAUAAUUAUAUUUAUUUUUU
RNAcentral lists this ribosomal RNA (603 nucleotides) under Cicindela (Rivacindela) sp. JP-112. RNAcentral describes it as "partial 16S ribosomal RNA". It matches the Rfam family "Bacterial large subunit ribosomal RNA", at positions 1844 to 2726 of the family's 2925-position model. The record is from RNAcentral. Lineage: Eukaryota; Metazoa; Arthropoda; Insecta; Coleoptera; Carabidae.